Long non-coding RNA from Daphnia carinata, 1018 nucleotides. RefSeq lists it as uncharacterized. The record is from RefSeq and is a predicted model, not a curated record. Lineage: Eukaryota; Metazoa; Arthropoda; Branchiopoda; Diplostraca; Daphniidae. The transcript has 6 exons.
UGUUGCAAUAUCAUAAUUUCUUUACUAAUAAAAAUGUUUUCCCAUUUCAUAUAAGUAAUGGCAAUUAAGCCCACGUAAAGGCGCAGAAUUAAAGGCACUUCAUAGCCUGUAGGAUAGGAUAGUCUUUGGGUAGCCCUUGCCUCCUUGGAGAGCUAAGAAAAUGGUUGAUUGGUGUUGAACUGAGCCUCAGAAAAUCAUGUGCAGAGAGAAGAACCACAUGGUUCUGCAAAAAAAAGGAAAGGCAUUGUGAUUUCAAGGGGAUGUUAAAAGGCUUAUAGGUGCCUAAUAAAAAGAAAAGGAGCAGCCGUGGCAGUGAUACCGUGGUGAGCAUUUAGGUGAUGCCAGUUAAACGGCCGUACAAAAUACACUACAAAAGACCCACAGCCGAGAAAUGCUAUAUGACCAACGGAAUAAAAAUUCUUUCCCUUAUAUGUAUUGGCAGCGGGAAAAAAAGCUCGUUAUGGAGAAUUCUUGUUGCUGGCAUUAGACUGAGGCUAAUCAAAAGUUGCACUACGGGAGAAGGCGCUCUUGUCCGCCAAAUACGUGCGACAUCUAUGGGAGAAGCGUGCAACCCCUUUAAAGUUCCACUGGCACGUCAUUCAUUGUCGCCUGGCGUAAACUGAGGAAGGUGGUCAAAAUGGACGUCUCCCUCAUUGAAAGUUAUCUGGGAUUUUGGGUUCCUUGAGGCCUCCUGGAUGUACCGGAUACCUGAAAUGCUGUGUUGGCCAUGUGAUCACCCUAUACCGAAAGCAACUUUUGUUGUUUCUAUGCCGUAGUGUGAAUAAAUAUUUCCACUACGAAUCUUGCAUUUGGUGAACAGUUAAUUCCUUAGCGAGAAAAAAAGGAGAAGUUCGAGAUGGAUUUGGCUACAUUUCUUCACCAUGGUAGAAUGUGAAGUAAUUGGUUGCUGAAAAAAGAUUUCAUUUUUUCUGUGUUCAGUAAAAUGUGUUUGAGAUGGCAAAAAAAAAGAAACUAUGGAAAUUUGCAUUGUAAAGACUUCGUUUUUUUUGUGAGCAAA